GGAAGUACGACCGCAAGGUUGAAACUCAAAGGAAUUGGCGGGGGUCCGCACAAGCGGUGAAGCAUGUGGUUUAAUUCGAUGAUACGCGAGGAACCUUACCUAGGCUAGAAUGCAUUUUGACCGAGGGUGAAAGCUCUCUUUGUAGCAAUACACAAUUUGUAAGGUGCUGCAUGGCUGUCGUCAGCUCGUGCCGUGAGGUGUUGGGUUAAGUCCCGCAACGAGCGCAACCCCCAUCACUAGUUGCCAUCAGGUAACGCUGGGAACUCUAGUGAAACUGCCGUCGUAAGACGUGAGGAAGGAGGGGAUGAUGUCAAGUCAUCAUGGCCUUUAUGCCUAGGGCUACACACGUGCUACAAUGGGAAGGACAAAGGGUCGCGACAUAGUGAUAUGAAGCCAAUCCCAAAAACCUUCUCUCAGUUCAGAUUGGAGUCUGCAACUCGACUCCAUGAAGCUGGAAUCGCUAGUAAUCGUAUAUCAGCAAUGAUACGGUGAAUACGUUCCCGGACCUUGCACACACCGCCCGUCAAGCCAUGGAAGCUGGGUGUACCUAAAGUCGGUAACCGAAAGGAGCCGCCUAGGGUAAAACUAGUGACUGGGGCU
This 600-nucleotide ribosomal RNA is filed under the name uncultured bacterium. RNAcentral's name for it is "bacterial SSU rRNA". It matches the Rfam family "Bacterial small subunit ribosomal RNA", at positions 876 to 1482 of the family's 1533-position model. The record is from RNAcentral.